This 1048-nucleotide long non-coding RNA is filed under the name Balaenoptera musculus (blue whale). RNAcentral describes it as "lncRNA (ENSBMSG00010021958.1)". The record is from RNAcentral. Lineage: Eukaryota; Metazoa; Chordata; Mammalia; Artiodactyla; Balaenopteridae.
UCCGUGUCCAGCCUCGCACUGGCCGCCAGCAGGGCUCCCUUCCCCACCGGGCCCAGCUUCAGCCCCGGUGAGGAAACGGAGGCCCAGCAGGGCUCUGCAACCUUCCCACGGGGCCCUGGAGUGCAGCCCGGCCCGCGCUUUGUGCUGCCCCCGGCUGCCGGGCCAGGCAUCCCAGGCUGUUUACAGGAAGGAGGCAAGCAGCAGUUCUGGGACGUGAAUGGCUGUCGGAAUCAUCUGGAACACUUGUCCACCGUCUCGAACCACGUGCCGCCCCAGACCUGGUCAGUGAGAGCCGAGACGGUGUCCGGUGGGAGACCCUUGCACAGCGCGGCACGGAGGGCCUCCCGGCUCUUAGGGAAACGCCGGCCUCUCUUCAGGAGGCAGUCUGGAGCCAGGUCACCCCCGCGUGCUUGGGUUUCCUGUCUGCAAAGCAGGGAUGGGGACAGGCUGCCCCGUGGGCGGCUCGGAUGGGGAGAGCCGCGCAGGCUUAGUGCUCGACUCAGGGCAGGCGGCCUGGGGGCCCUGGGCUCUUGGUGUGAGACCCUCAGUGGCAGCUUCCACCACCCCCUUCCUGCGAAUGGCCUGUGGCCUGUUCAGUGGCCUUGGGCCAGUCACUGCCUCUCCUAGUCUCCGGUUCUUUGUCUGUAAGGCAGGCUGAGGAGCCCCCAGGCCACGUGUGCCCUCCAACUGGAAGUGGCCCAGUGUUUCCCUGGGACUCUGCCCUGGGGGAGGUGCCCGGCAGGCCUGGCCGAGCCUCCUCUGACGGUACCUAGAAAGUGGAAAGGCAGGUGAGGGCGGGCGGGCGGCGUCCUGCCUGCGAGUGACCUUGCGUCCCCCACAGGAUGACCACUUCCCAGCCGGCUGGUAACCCCUCCCCCUGCUGUCCUGCCUCCUCACGGCCCUUGAGGGCAGUGGGAAAAAAACCCUCAACAUCUGAAGUGCUUUUCUCCAAAGGAAGAUAGGCUUGAAUCACGAAACCAGGAACAGGCGGGGCUUCCUGGGAACUUACUAGAGUGCAGAUGGGGCCGUGCAAGGCCUCCCCACAAAC